Phyllopteryx taeniolatus (common seadragon) is the source of this 3635-nucleotide RNA transcript. It is a transcript of the gene named WD repeat domain 32, with no coding region annotated. The transcript has 9 exons. Lineage: Eukaryota; Metazoa; Chordata; Actinopteri; Syngnathiformes; Syngnathidae. The record is from RefSeq and is a predicted model, not a curated record.
UAUAUAUGUGGCUAAAAUACCAACAUAGCGAGAUAAAAGCUGUCAUUUUAAAUUGAAUGUUUGUGUCAAGCGUUAUUGUUUUCAUUUUCAAACGUAGAACGGAGCGAUUCGGCACUUGCUAACAUUUAUUUUGAAAGCGUUCCCGCUAUUUUUUCCGGUUGUGUACCGACUGGUCUCGUCCGCUUCGACGCGCGGCUGUCCGGCUCUGGCGAGUCUGACACCAACCGACGUUUGUCCGCUUGAAGCUCUGCUUAAAGCUGCCCCUUGCGCCACUAUGGCCCCGCCGCAGAGCUGAGGCGGCCCCGCUUUCAACGCUCAUCUUUCGCAUAGCUAUCUCUCCAGAGGCCGCAAUGAGCUCGGAGGACGCCGACGAGCCGCGGGACAGGCCCGGUAGCAGCAGCAGUAGCGGCGGCGGCGGCGACAAAGAGCCCGACAUGGACGGCUCGGACCGCGACGGAGACCUCGCCCGGAGCUGCCCUCCCUCCCCGUCGGCAACUAGCGCGACCUCAGAAGAGCGUGGAGAGCCCGCCGCCGGGCCUCGACCGGCUGACGGCGGCGGGGGUUCGGGCUGCGACGCCGGCCGGCCGAGGAGUCUAUUCUCCUGGCUUCAGAACAGGUCCAUCAGGCGGGGCGUGUUCGUGGACCCGGUGCGGGACAACUUUCGGAUCAUGACCAGCUUGUACAGCUCCAUGAACCCGGCGGCUGACUCGGUCAACCUGAGUACCAAGACCCACGGAGCCGUAUUCAACCUGGAGUACUCUCCAGACGGGUCUGUGCUGACGGUGGCCUGCGAGCAGACCGAGGUCCUGCUCUUCGACCCCGUCUCGUCCCGACACAUCAAAACCUUGACAGAGGCCCACGAGGAUUGUGUCAACAACAUAAGGUUCCUGGACAACCGUCUUUUCGCCACGUGCUCGGACGACACCACCAUCGCGCUGUGGGACCUGCGCAAGCUCAACUCCAAGGUGUGCUCGCUGCACGGCCACGCCAGCUGGGUGAAGAACAUCGAGUACGACACCAACACGCGCCUGCUCGUCACCUCCGGCUUCGACGGCAACGUCAUCACGUGGGACACCAACAGAUUCACGGAGGACGGCUGCCCGCACAAGAAGUUCUUCCAUACGCGCUACCUGAUGAGGAUGCGGCUGACGCCCGACUGCUCCAAGAUGCUCAUCUCCACGUCGUCGGGCUACCUGCUCAUCCUGCACGACCUGGACCUCACGCAGUCGCUGGAGGUGGGCAGCUACCGCAUGCUGCGAGCCAGGCGCACCCCCCUCACGUCAGACGGAGGCGCGCUGGCGUCCCGCUCGGCCGGACCUCGCCACGGAAACGACUCCGGCAAGCUGCACCCUCACAGAGAAGGCCUUUCUCCCAGGAACAGCCUGGAGGUUCUGACCCCGGAGAUCCCGGGCGAGCGGGACCGAGGCAGCUGCAUCACGUCGCUGCAGCUGCACCCCAAAGGCUGGGCCACGCUCAUCCGCUGCUCCAGCAACAUGGAUGACCGCGAGUGGACGUGCGUGUACGAGUUCCAGGAGGGCGCGCCCACCCGUCCGCCGGUGUCGCCGCGCUGCUCCCUGCGCCUGACGCACUACAUCGAGGAGGCCAACGUGGGCCGGGGCUACAUCAAGGAGUUGUGCUUCAGCCCGGACGGCCGCCUCAUCUGCUCGCCGUACGGCUACGGCGUGCGUCUGCUGGCCUUCGACGAGAGCUGCGGCGAGCUGGCCGACUGCGUGCCCGUGCAGACCGGCUGCCUGCGCGAGGUGCGCGCCAUCUACUCGCACAGCGACGUGGUGCUCACCACCAAGUUCUCGCCCACCCACUGUCAGCUGGCCUCGGGCUGCCUCAGCGGCCGGGUGGCGCUCUACCAGCCCAAGUUCUAGCGGACCGCGCCCAGGCUUGCUCGCCCGGCACCCGAAUGAGGAAGCGAAGCCGUGUGGAUGGAAGCAGGGAACUUUGGUGGGGCGGCUAGCCGGACGGUUCAAUGUUGAAUCGAGAGCGGAGCGACCAAAGGAAGCAAAAGACGGACGUCGCUCGGGAUCGACAGUGCGGAACCCCGAAGUCAAACACCCCAAAAGCGGGACAAAUUGGAGUUCAAAGGAUCAUCAUGGCAGACGUUCGUUCACGCUCCAAGCCUGGGUUCCACUUUCGAGGCUGUCAAGACGGUGUUAAGGCUUCAAAUCAGAGUUUCUACGCAGUUCAAGUUUCAAAUUAGCGUUUCAAACCUUGUUAUGGUUUCGAGCCUGGGUUACACUUUCAGAAGUAGGGUUUCAAGACACUGUUGAGGUUUUAGACAAAGCUCAAUGAAAAAAAAUAGGGUUUCAAGACAGGGUUAAGUUUUGAAAGUAGGGUUUCAAACUGGCGUUCAGAUUUCAAAUCAGAGUGAGGGUUUUAAAUUAGUGUCAGGGUAAGUCUUAUCAAUUGAUUGAUUGGUUGGUUGACUUACUGCCGUGUCAUGAAUAAUUCCAGUAAGAGGUCCAUGUGGACUUUCCCAUUCUUGGGAAUCGUCACGUUUAUUUGUGCCUAAAAAGCAUUUUUAGAGUUUGAUGAUGCACCCCAACCAGCUGUGUGUGGAUCGGAUAUCUUUGUUGUGUGCAGCUUGUCUUGCCGCCAACGAUUUUCUCCGAAAUUCAGCCCACUUCCUGCCAAAAACAACCACGCCCACUCACCACUUAGAUAACACCCACGCUGGGAAUAUGAAAAUAUACAAAACAACGUUUCAUGUAUGCUGCUGCUGACAAUCAUAUAGGCAUCGCUAAAAUUCAAUCAAUUCAUCAAAUUUUAUUUAUAUAACACUUUUCAUACAUAGAAAAUGCAACCCAAAGUGCUUCACAGAGAUAACAACUAAUAAUUGUUAAAGAGCAAAAUUGGCAUUAUAUACAAUUCAUCUUUUCCCCACUUUUUUUUAGUAUUUUUACAUCCAAUAAUUUAUAUCUAAAUUGUUUUUUGUUUUUUCUCAUAUUUGUGUAUUAGUCAUCUAAUACUUUUAAUGUUGUAUAAGCGAUAUUAACAUUGUUAUAGUUGUGUAUUUUUCACAAAAUAUUGUCUAAUAUUUGUAACAUUUAACUAUUGUAAUAUUUGUUUUUUUCAUGUAAUGUCUAAUGUGUUAUUUACUAAUAUUUUUGUUGUUUAAAUAUGUUGUGUAAUAUUUUGCACAUGUAAUAUUGCCUAAUAUUUUGUAUUAACUCAUAUCUUUUAACAUAUUUAAUUACACAUUUUUACGUUUUAGUCGUUGUGUAUUUUUCAUUGAAUAUUUAUUUUUAUUGUAUCAUAAUGAAAUGAAAUCAUGACAUUGCUUUGAUGUCCAAGUCCUCGCUUUUAUAUCGUCCCAUAUCUCGUUUUUAUUUAUAUUUUUACAAAUUGUUGAACUUCUCGGUUGUUGUAUCUUCGUGUUAGAUUCGUAAAAAAAAAAAAAUACUUAAAAUUUUACAUUUUAAGUAUCUCCCAAUCUGAUUGGUUCAUUCCGCUGUGACGUUUACAGAAAGUGGCCACAGAGUCUUAAAUCAUCUCAUAUCUUCUUAUUUUAUUGUUGUUAUUAUUUUGUUAGAAAUGUCAUUUUACUAUCACAUUUGACUCGUUAUAUACGUGUACAUUCAUUUCCAAUACUUUAAUUUUAAUAAAGUCAAAGAUUCCCUCGA